AGUGAACGCUGGCGGUAGGCCUAACACAUGCCAGUCGAACGGCAGCACAGUAAGAGCUUGCUCUUACGGGUGGCGAGUGGCGGACGGGUGAGGAAUACAUCGGAAUCUACUUUUUCGUGGGGGAUAACGUAGGGAAACUUACGCUAAUACCGCAUACGACCUACGGGUGAAAGCAGGGGAUCUUCGGACCUUGCGCGAUUGAAUGAGCCGAUCUCGGAUUAGCUAGUUGGCUGGGUAAAGGCCCACCAAGGCGACGAUCCGUAGCCGGUCUGAGGGGAUGAAAAGCCACACUGGAACUGAGACACGGUCCAGACUCCGACGGGGAGCAACAGUAGGGAAUAUUAGACAAUGGGCGGAAGCCUGAUCCAGCCAUACCGCGUGGGUGAAGAAGGCCUUCGGGUUGUAAAGCCCUUUAGUUAGGAAAGAAAAGCAGCAGGUUAAUACCCCGCUGUUCUGACAGUACCCGAAGAAUAAGCACCGGCUAACUUCGUG
RNAcentral lists this ribosomal RNA (492 nucleotides) under uncultured bacterium. Its description in RNAcentral is "partial 16S ribosomal RNA". It matches the Rfam family "Bacterial small subunit ribosomal RNA", at positions 29 to 507 of the family's 1533-position model. The record is from RNAcentral.